This 772-nucleotide ribosomal RNA is filed under the name Pristimantis bromeliaceus (bromeliad robber frog). RNAcentral describes it as "partial small subunit ribosomal RNA". It matches the Rfam family "Bacterial small subunit ribosomal RNA", at positions 330 to 1424 of the family's 1533-position model. Lineage: Eukaryota; Metazoa; Chordata; Amphibia; Anura; Strabomantidae. The record is from RNAcentral.
CCCCCACUUAGGGUUAAGGAGCCGAUAUCAGGCACAAUACUUGCCCAAAACAUCUAGCCACGCCACACCCACAAGGGUUCUCAGCAGUGAUUAACAUUAAAAAUAAACGUCAGUUUGACUUAGCCAAUGAAAAUUAGAGCCGGCUAAUCUGGUGCCAGCCGCCGCGGUUACACCAGUGGCUCAAAUUGAUUCCACACGGCGUAAAGCGUGAUUAAAGAAACAAAUUACUGGGGUUAAACUUGAACUAAGCCGUAGUACGCUUGUUUAAAAGAAAGCCCGCAUCCUUCGAAAGACACCCCAACUUAUCAACUUGAACUCACGACAACUGGGACACAAACUGGGAUUAGAUACCCCACUAUGCCCAGUCAUAAACUUUUACUUACAUCUAUAUCGCCAGGGAACUACGAGCAAAGCUUAAAACCCAAAGGACUUGACGGUACCCCACAUCCCACUAGAGGAGCCUGUCCUAUAACCGAUACCCCUCGUUCAACCUCACCACUUUUAGUUCUUCAGCCUGUAUACUUCCGUCGCCAGCUUACCGUGUGAACGUAUUAGUGAGCUCAAUGUCAACCAUCAACACGUCAGGUCAAAGUGCAGCAAACAAAGUGGCAAGAGAUGGGCUACACUCUCUAUCAUAGAAGACACAAAAACUAUAUGAAACUAUAGUCAAAAGGUGGAUUUAGCAGUAAGAUGAAAAUAGAGUAUUCCUCUUAACUCGGCACUGGGGCGUGUACACACCGCCCGUCACCCUCUUCAAUAAGGCUUUACAGUA